This 75-nucleotide transfer RNA is filed under the name Candidatus Micrarchaeota archaeon CG10_big_fil_rev_8_21_14_0_10_59_7. RNAcentral's name for it is "tRNA-His". It matches the Rfam family "tRNA". Rfam says of the family: Transfer RNA (tRNA) molecules are approximately 80 nucleotides in length. Lineage: Archaea; Nanobdellati; Microcaldota. The record is from RNAcentral.
GCGCAGAUCGUCUAGCCUGGUCUAGGAUUCGAGCCUGUGGAGCUUGCGACGCGAGUUCAAAUCUCGCUCUGCGCC